Long non-coding RNA from Microcebus murinus (gray mouse lemur), 1251 nucleotides. RefSeq lists it as uncharacterized. The record is from RefSeq and is a predicted model, not a curated record. Lineage: Eukaryota; Metazoa; Chordata; Mammalia; Primates; Cheirogaleidae.
ACUUGAGUGUGGCAGAGCAGCUCUGGCCUUGAAGGGGGCCAGCUGCUCAGGCUCCAGAACCAGCUCCAGCACCCUUUGGCAUCUCAAGGACACCCUAAAAGAGUUUAGUAUAUGAGCACCAGCUUCAAAGAGGCCACACAAUGAUUGUGGUGGAUCAACAAAAAGAACAACACUCUAUGAUCGUGUCUGUAUGAACUAAAAUAAAAUCUUAAAGCCCUCCAGCUGUGAUGGAAUGGACGCUGUCUUGGCAAAGGGGACCGCAGACAAAACCUUGAGGCUCAGAUACUGGCUAUGAAAAGCUGGUGCUCACACCUGGGAUUGAAUGAAGUCUCAGGAUUCCGUGAAGGCCCGACAUCAGUGCCAGGAAGCAGCACGGUCCCCUCGAGCCACCUGACUACCAGCUUUCCCUUGGGCAGAACUGGAACAUGGUCACAAAUAUUCACCUCAGAAUCAAACUCAGAUAUUUUUCAGAGUUUGGGUUUGUUUUUAUUGACAAGAUGGUGCCAAGACGUGGGGCUACAAGAAGACUGAGGACACGCUCAAGGAGUAGAUCACCAGCAGCAAAAGGUAAAGGAAUCGCCCCAAUAGGGCGCAGAUCUGCUCCAAAAUUUACCUAGAGCUGAACUGGUAAGUGCUGCUGAGGCCCAGAACUCACUAUCUUGAUAGGUAGUAUUGGUUUAUUCUGACUUGUCAAUACUUUAACUAGGAAGUUGUUUAGAAGGGUCCUGAUUUUGACUUGGAGGUGCACUAUAAUGGAGUGUUCACCAUUGAUUACUUCUUUCUCUGCAAAUUGAUCUGAAUUGGCUUUUCUGGCCAUUUGUGAAAUGAAAGAGGAAACCGAACUGUCCUGUUUGUAGAUAAAUGAGAGACUGAGGUUCCUCAGCUCCGAAGAGAAAGGGCAUUUACCUGUCCCAGCCAAAGGUAUGCCUGGGUGAGUAGGGGUGCCAGUGGGAGUGCUUGAGGAGACUGCCCAUGGCGUGGUGUGACUUGGUGUGACGUGGCCCUAUAGGGAAUCCCCAACAAGAUUAUUUAAAAGAAGGCUCCUCCAGGAAACGCACAUAAGAGCUGAUCACUCAGCGUUUUGAGCCCUCUCAGAGGUGUUAGACCCCUGGAGAGAGAACCUGAGGCCCAUGUGAGAGGCGGGAAAUGACUCAGUGGUGAAUCCCUGUGCAGUCCUGCCCACAAUCAGCACACUCUGAUCCACGACACUGACCCCUAGACCACAGUUCGGUUGCUUCUUGUAAAGAAAAA